Molecule: ribosomal RNA, 377 nt
Filed under: uncultured Bacteriovoracaceae bacterium
Lineage: Bacteria; Pseudomonadati; Bdellovibrionota; Bacteriovoracia; Bacteriovoracales; Bacteriovoracaceae
Description: bacterial SSU rRNA
Rfam family: Bacterial small subunit ribosomal RNA
Source: RNAcentral
AUACGGAGGGUGCAAGCGUUGUUCGGAUUUAUUGGGCGUAAAGCGCGCGCAGGCGGAUCUUUAAGUCAGGUGUGAAAUCUCGGGGCUCAACCCCGAAACUGCGCCUGAAACUAUUGAUCUAGAAUCUUGGAGAGGGAAGGGGAAUUUCACGUGUAGGGGUAAAAUCCGUAGAGAUGUGAAGGAACACCAGAAGCGAAGGCGCCUUCCUGGACAAGUAUUGACGCUGAGGCGCGAAAGCGUGGGGAGCAAACAGGAUUAGAUACCCUGGUAGUCCACGCCGUAAACGAUGAGUACUAGUUAUUGGAGGUAUUGACCCCUUCAGUGACGCAGCUAACGCAUUAAGUACUCCGCCUGGGAAGUACGGUCGCAAGACUAAA